RNAcentral lists this long non-coding RNA (1212 nucleotides) under Salmo trutta (river trout). Its description in RNAcentral is "lncRNA (ENSSTUG00000004458.1)". Lineage: Eukaryota; Metazoa; Chordata; Actinopteri; Salmoniformes; Salmonidae. The record is from RNAcentral.
AUGCGCACAGUGACUCGCGCGCGCGCACACACAAAUACAUUCACACACUCAGACAGACUGUCUCACACAGUCACUCUCAUACACACACACACACACACACAAACAAAUAGUCACACACACACACUGACAGUGACUCACUCACUCUGUCACUCUCACUCACACUGUCUCUCACUCACACUGUCUCUCACUCACACUGUCUCUCACUCACACAGUCACUCUCUCUCACACUCACUCUCUCUCUCACACUCACUCUCUCUCUCACACUCACUCUCUCUCACACAGUCACUCUCACACAGUCACUCUCACUCACAGUCACUCUCACUUACACACACAGUCACUCUCACAUACACACUGACACUGACUCAUGCACACACUGACAGUCACACACACACACAAAUACACUCACACACAGUCACUCACAAACACACACAUACACUCGCACACACAUACACUCGCACACAGUCAUACACACGCACACAGUCACACACACAGACAGUCACACACUUAGUCACACACACACACAAACAGGCACACACAAAUACAGUCACACACAAAUACAAUCACACACUUAGUCACAGUCGCACACACGCAGUCGCACACGCACAGACACAAACAGUCGCACACACACAGUCACACAUUUACACACACAGAGUCUCUCUCUCACACACAGUCUGUCUCACACAGUCAGUCACUCACUCAGUCACUCACUCAGUCACUCAGUCACUCACUCAGUCACUCAGUCAGUCACUCAGUCAGUCACUCAGUCAGUCACUCAGUCAGUCACUCAGUCAGUCACUCAGUCAGUCACUCAGUCAGUCACACACACAGCCACACACACACAGCCACACACACACAGCCACACACACACAGCCACACCACACAGCCACACACACAGCCACACACACACAGCCACACACACACAGCCACACACACACACAGCCACACACACACACACAGCCACACACACACACAGCCACACACACCAACACCACCACAGCCACACACACCACCACAGCCACACACCAACACCAGCCACACACACCCACAACACACCCCACACACACACACAGCCACACACACACACACACACAACACACACACACACACCACACAGCCACACACACACACACACACACCACACACACAUCCACACAACACACACCCACCCACACACACCCAGCCACACCACACACACACAUCAAUCACCCAACA